RNAcentral lists this ribosomal RNA (460 nucleotides) under uncultured bacterium. Its description in RNAcentral is "partial 16S ribosomal RNA". It matches the Rfam family "Bacterial small subunit ribosomal RNA", at positions 338 to 795 of the family's 1533-position model. The record is from RNAcentral.
CCUACGGGCGGCAGCAGUGGGGAAUAUUCGGCAAUGGACGAGAGUCUGACCCAGCAACGUCGCGUGAAGGAUGACUGCCCUAUGGGCUGUAAACUUCUUUUAUAUAGGAAUAAAAUGUUGCACGUGUGGGAUUGUGUCUUGACCAUAUGAAAAAGGAUAGGCUAACUCCGUGCCAGCAGCAGCGGUAAUACGGAGGGUACGAGCGUUAUCCGGAUUUAUUGGGUUUAAAGGGAGCGUAGGUGGAUUGUUAAGUCAGUUGUGAAAGUUUGCGGCUCAACCGUAAAAUUGCAGUUGAAACUGGCAGUCUUGAGUACAGUAGAGGUGGGCGGAAUUCGUGGUGUAGCGGUGAAAUGCUUAGAUAUCACGAAGAACUCCGAUUGCGAAGGCAGCUCACUGGACUGCAACUGACACUGAGGCUCGAAAGUGUGGGUAUCAAACAGGAUUAGAUACCCCUGUAGUC